Long non-coding RNA from Cyprinodon variegatus (sheepshead minnow), 1436 nucleotides. RefSeq lists it as uncharacterized. NCBI's taxonomy places the organism in Eukaryota, Metazoa, Chordata, Actinopteri, Cyprinodontiformes, Cyprinodontidae. The transcript is spliced from 3 exons. The record is from RefSeq and is a predicted model, not a curated record.
UUGGAAACUUAUUCAAAUUUUUUUUAUAAAUUCUAUUUGGUACAAUGUAUUAGAUUGACUAGUCUUUUGAUGGAUAUAGAUUUACAAAUUAAUUCUUACUUACACAUUAGAUAAAAUGUCUCAUUUUGAAGUAAAGGCAUUUACUGUCAAGGCUAAGAACAGAGGAGGCAAACAGACAGGCUGAUUUAAAAACAAAGGAUCUGCAGGGACGUCUAAGCGUCAAAGUCAUUGGCCAGAGGAAGAGGUGGAUUCCGGCAAAACUGCUGCCAACACCAUGUGGCGAAUGCUGCACAGAGAGUUCCAGAUGCUGAAUCCUUGAAGACUGCUGAACUGGAUGACGAACAGAUCCAAGCAGGUGAAGGAAGGCUGAACUAUCUAGAAGGUGAAGCCAAAGCUGGUGUCGAUGAGGUUCACAGGAGUCCGAGCCAGAAGAUCCAAAAUCCGAAGAAAAAAGAUAGGGAAAUCCAGGUGGAAGUCAGGAAGCAUAUCCAGGUUCAGUCAGCAGGCUGAAUCCAGCAGGAGUCCAAAGAAAGGUUAGAAAAACUGAUCAGAACAGGAACAGGCAGACUCAGAGGUCCAAAGGCAGAACGGGUCAGGAUCAGGAUCAUGUAACCAGAACAAAAACAGAUGCUCAAGAGAACUCUCACCGAAGCCAAAGGCUCGAAUAAUCUGGCACUGAUGAAUGGGAGCAGGCAGGUUAAAUAAAGACUGGAGCAAGUGACACAGGUGAUGAGAAAUUGGGUGGAUCUAGACAGGUGAAUGUAAUGAACAAACAAGCCAGUCAUCAGCACCAUGAUCAUGACACCCGACUUAAAAAACCCCCAAAACAUUUGGAGUUAAACCAUUUUAUAUUUAAUGAUAUUUUAUAUGCAGACAGCUUUACAGAAGCGAUCACAGCUUGCUUUCAAAUUAAAUGUUUGUUUCCCAAAAAACUCUUAGAUGUCAGGGAUCCAUUUUGUGUGGGUUGUUUUUGUGUUUUCUCUCUCCACCACCAGAUGGUGCCCUGUUCCUCGUUGGGCCUCCCUGCACACCUGCGGCUCGUUGGAUUAUUACCGGAGGAGUAUUUGAGCAGCGGGCUGUCACUACCUUGACGCAAGAGUGUUUGCCAAUUUGGGAAGCCUUUCCUGUGCAACUGGAUAACCUGGACCUUCUCCCCCUGGAAGGAUUACUGAGUACACGCUGAGCAGGGGUAAACCUCCAUAAGAACCGUUCAAGUCCUCAUCGGGAAACCAAGUGACAGGCCGCUCCUUUACUCCUCUGUGUCCAACGUAUGUCUACCUGUUCGCUCUCCAACAAGUUCCCUCUCCUCUGGAUUAAUUCCCCACAAACUGGAUUCAAGGAUUAACAAGAGCCCCCUCAAACACUUUCCGGUUCCGGUUCACCAGUCCACUGAGUUCAAGCUCCUACUUCUGUGUUUCACCAACAUUCAAUAAACC